GGCAAUGAAGCGCGCACGUUGCC
RNAcentral lists this unclassified non-coding RNA (23 nucleotides) under Human immunodeficiency virus 1. Its description in RNAcentral is "SL1 RNA DIMER from Human immunodeficiency virus 1 (PDB 1BAU, chain B)". Lineage: Riboviria; Pararnavirae; Artverviricota; Revtraviricetes; Ortervirales; Retroviridae. The record is from RNAcentral.